Long non-coding RNA from Thalassophryne amazonica, 129 nucleotides. RefSeq lists it as uncharacterized. Lineage: Eukaryota; Metazoa; Chordata; Actinopteri; Batrachoidiformes; Batrachoididae. The transcript has 3 exons. The record is from RefSeq and is a predicted model, not a curated record.
UCCUCACUGUUCCUGCACACUGAGUGAGAGUGAGAGAGAGAGAGAGAGGACAAAAGGAGCUAAAUAUUAAAUGCUUAAUUUUUCACACUCUUCAUUUUGGAUUUAUCUUGUGUAUGCAUUGCUCUGACA